CCUACGGGGGGCUGCAGUGGGGAAUAUUGGACAAUGGGGGCAACCCUGAUCCAGCCAUGCCGCGUGUGUGAAGAAGGCCCUCGGGUUGUAAAGCACUUUCAGUGAGGAAGAACGCCUGGUGGUUAAUACCCAUCAGGAAAGACAUCACUCACAGAAGAAGCACCGGCUAACUCCGUGCCAGCAGCCGCGGUAAUACGGAGGGUGCGAGCGUUAAUCGGAAUUACUGGGCGUAAAGUGCGCGUAGGUGGCUUGAUAAGCCGGUUGUGAAAGCCCCGGGCUCAACCUGGGAACGGCAUCCGGAACUGUCAAGCUAGAGUGCAGGAGAGGAAGGUAGAAUUCCCGGUGUAGCGGUGAAAUGCGUAGAGAUCGGGAGGAAUACCAGUGGCGAAGGCGGCCUUCUGGACUGACACUGACACUGAGGUGCGAAAGCGUGGGUAGCAAACAGGAUUAGAUACCCUGGUAGUC
Molecule: ribosomal RNA, 465 nt
Filed under: Vreelandella stevensii
Lineage: Bacteria; Pseudomonadati; Pseudomonadota; Gammaproteobacteria; Oceanospirillales; Halomonadaceae
Description: partial 16S ribosomal RNA
Rfam family: Bacterial small subunit ribosomal RNA
Source: RNAcentral